AUUGAACGCUGGCGGCAUGCCUUACACAUGCAAGUCGAACGGUAACAGGUUAAGCUGACGAGUGGCGAACGGGUGAGUAAUGUAUCGGAACGUGCCCAGUCGUGGGGGAUAACUGCUCGAAAGAGCAGCUAAUACCGCAUACGACCUGAGUGUGAAAGCGGGGGAUCGCAAGACCUCGCGCGAUUGGAGCGGCCGAUAUCAGAUUAGGUAGUUGGUGAGGUAAAGGCUCACCAAGCCGACGAUCUGUAGCUGGUCUGAGAGGACGACCAGCCACACUGGGACUGAGACACGGCCCAGACUCCUACGGGAGGCAGCAGUGGGGAAUUUUGGACAAUGGGCGCAAGCCUGAUCCAGCCAUGCCGCGUGCGGGAAGAAGGCGUUCGGGUUGUAAACCGCUUUUGUCAGGGAAGAAAAGGUUCUGGCUAAUACCUGGGACUCAUGACGGUACCUGAAGAAUAAGCACCGGCUAACUACGUG
This 477-nucleotide ribosomal RNA is filed under the name uncultured bacterium. RNAcentral describes it as "partial 16S ribosomal RNA". It matches the Rfam family "Bacterial small subunit ribosomal RNA", at positions 30 to 507 of the family's 1533-position model. The record is from RNAcentral.